AUUGAACGCUGGCGGCAGGCUUAACACAUGCAAGUCGAGCGGGGUGAUGGUGCUUGCACUAUCACUUAGCGGCGGACGGGUGAGUAAUGCUUAGGAAUCUGCCUAUUAGUGGGGGACAACAUCUUGAAAGGGAUGCUAAUACCGCAUACGUCCUACGGGAGAAGGCAGGGGAUCACUUGUGACCUUGCGCUAAUAGAUGAGCCUAAGUCGGAUUAGCUAGUUGGUGGGGUAAAGGCCUACCAAGGCGACGAUCUGUAGCGGGUCUGAGAGGAUGAUCCGCCACACUGGGACUGAGACACGGCCCAGACUCCUACGGGAGGCAGCAGUGGGGAAUAUUGGACAAUGGGGGGAACCCUGAUCCAGCCAUGCCGCGUGUGUGAAGAAGGCCUUAUGGUUGUAAAGCACUUUAAGCGAGGAGGAGGCUCCUUUGGUUAAUACCCAAGAUGAGUGGACGUUACUCGCAGAAUAAGCACCGGCUAACUCUGUGCCAGCCGCCGCGGUAA
This 503-nucleotide ribosomal RNA is filed under the name uncultured bacterium. Its description in RNAcentral is "partial 16S ribosomal RNA". It matches the Rfam family "Bacterial small subunit ribosomal RNA", at positions 30 to 523 of the family's 1533-position model. The record is from RNAcentral.